This 253-nucleotide ribosomal RNA is filed under the name uncultured bacterium. Its description in RNAcentral is "partial 16S ribosomal RNA". It matches the Rfam family "Bacterial small subunit ribosomal RNA", at positions 524 to 776 of the family's 1533-position model. The record is from RNAcentral.
UACGUAGGGGGCAAGCGUUGUCCGGAAUCAUUGGGCGUAAAGAGCGUGUAGGCGGCCCGGUAAGUCCGCUGUGAAAGUCCAGGGCUCAACCCUGGGAUGCCGGUGGAUACUGUCGGGCUCGAGUCCGGAAGAGGAGUGUGGAAUUCCUGGUGUAGCGGCGAAAUGCGCAGAUAUCAGGAGGAACACCAAUGGCGAAGGCAGCACUCUGGGACGUGACUGACGCUGAGACGCGAAAGCGUGGGGAGCGAACAGG